Molecule: non-coding RNA, 24 nt
Filed under: Arabidopsis thaliana (thale cress)
Lineage: Eukaryota; Viridiplantae; Streptophyta; Magnoliopsida; Brassicales; Brassicaceae
Source: RNAcentral
AGCCGACCAAUACUUGAUAUAGGC